Molecule: ribosomal RNA, 514 nt
Filed under: uncultured bacterium
Lineage: Bacteria
Description: partial 16S ribosomal RNA
Rfam family: Bacterial small subunit ribosomal RNA
Source: RNAcentral
GAUGAACGCUGGCGGCGUGCCUAAUACAUGCAAGUCGAGCGAACAGAUGAGGAGCUUGCUUCUCUGAUGUUAGCGGCGGACGGGUGAGUAACACGUGGGUAACCUACCUAUAAGACUGGGAUAACUCCGGGAAACCGGGGCUAAUAUCGGAUAAUAUUUUGAACCGCAUGGUUACAUAGUGAAAGACGGUUUCGGCUGUCACUUAUAGAUGGACCCGCGCCGUAUUAGCUAGUUGGUAAGGUAACGGCUUACCAAGGCGACGAUACGUAGCCGACCUGAGAGGGUGAUCGGCCACACUGGAACUGAGACACGGUCCAGACUCCUACGGGAGGCAGCAGUAGGGAAUCUUCCGCAAUGGGCGAAAGCCCGACGGAGCAACGCCGCGUGAGUGAUGAAGGUCUUCGGAUCGUAAAACUCUGUUGUUAGGGAAGAACAAAUUUGUUAGUAACUGAACAAGUCUUGACGGUACCUAACCAGAAAGCCACGGCUAACUACGUGCCAGCCGCCGCAGUAA